RNAcentral lists this ribosomal RNA (253 nucleotides) under uncultured bacterium. RNAcentral's name for it is "partial 16S ribosomal RNA". It matches the Rfam family "Bacterial small subunit ribosomal RNA", at positions 524 to 776 of the family's 1533-position model. The record is from RNAcentral.
UACGAAGGGGGCUAGCGUUGCUCGGAAUCACUGGGCGUAAAGGGUGCGUAGGCGGGUCUUUAAGUCAGGGGUGAAAUCCUGGAGCUCAACUCCAGAACUGCCUUUGAUACUGAAGAUCUUGAGUUCGGGAGAGGUGAGUGGAACUGCGAGUGUAGAGGUGAAAUUCGUAGAUAUUCGCAAGAACACCAGUGGCGAAGGCGGCUCUCUGGACCGAGACUGACGCUGAGACGCGAAAGCGUGGGGAGCAAACAGG